CAAAGAGGCACUUGGCUCACCCUAGAUCAAGAGGAGAGGCUCUCCAGAUUUGCUGACCUAGAAGGAUAAGUCUGAAAGUAGGAGGGUGGGGAGAGCCAGAUGAACAAGGGAGGUGAAAACGUGAUCUAGGGAGGCAUCCGAGUGAGCAAAGGCACGAGUGAGCCUGGUACACUUCUGGGCAGGCAGAAGGAAGGCAGUUAGGCUGUUAGGAAGGCAGUUAGGCUGCAGUGAAUUCUACAAAGAGGCUAUGGGAAAGAAACCUGGAAAGUACCCUUGGCUGUGUACAUUUGAGUAAAGAGAGCACUAUAAAAUCAAAAACCAAUGAAAUGGUUUCCAGAACACAGAACUAUUAAGCUUAAGAAAAGGACAGAAGGAACUGAAGAGAGAGGAACUGUUUUGGAGCAUCACACUUCCACCUCAGAAGAAAUAAGGAAGGAAGGAGGAGGGUGUUCCCACGGCUCUUCAACCAGGCCGGCUCUUCAGCCUACAUCCCCAUCUCAUCAAGUAAAAGGGAUUUUUCAACUGGACCAACCAGAUGGUUUAACAGUGCACUCCCACACCAUUCAACUACGCAAGGGAGAUACACUUAACAUAUGCAGUCGUAUAACACCUACUAACAUUUUCAAACAUUAAACCUUUAAAAAAGAGUUCUAAAGAAAUAGAAGCUUGAAGUAUCAUCUCUCAAGUAUAUAGACACUACUUCAUGGUGUGGUAAUAUAUGCAUAUAGAAGCUAGUAAACACCUCCAGGAGAUGCAAAAGGAAUUAGAACUGCCACAAGGUGCAAGCAAAACCUUGAGUUCUGUUUUUCCUCUUCUAAUCCUUCACCCAUCUGAGCUAAAGUCUAGACCUAAGGAGGCUACUAAUUCAGGGAUCGAGUAAUCUGCCAAGCAAGAGUUUAUUCAAGCACAGUUUGAAAUAAAGGUUUCAAAUGCAUAGCCUGUCGAUACUUUGGAAGGAUUCUCAUCAUAACGAGAUAUGGGAGGACACCUGAGACGGCAGGCCAGAAGUCACUCAGUAGGAGAAACAUCCGUUAGAAGUAAUAAUGUGGGAUUGCUGAAGUAAAGACUAUAGGAAGAAAAAAGUGUCUGUGUGUAGGAAACGGAAAGGGAGAGAAAAAUACACUGAGAUGGUAAAGUAAGGAAGUGGAAGAUCAGCAGAAUGUGCAGAUGCCAAGCCAUCCAAGAAAAUCAUCUCUUGUGAUUGUUGCGAAGUCAACUAGCUAAUGUGACUCACUGCUAGGCUGUUGGAUCUGAGACUUAUGUGGGAUAAUUUAGAAACUUGCUAGUGUCUUAAGAUCAAUUACUCACCAAUGAGAGUGGCAUUGAACUGUGAAUGUUCCUCCUAGAUUUUCCAUGAAGACUAAUGGUUUUGUCUUGUCUUGAAUUUGUUUUAAUUACAAUUUGUAUACAUCCUGUUCCACCCUGAAAUUUUUAUUUUCCAAAUGGUUUUUCAUUUAAAGAGACUAAAUAAAGGUUCUGACUGAGUUGUAC
RNAcentral lists this long non-coding RNA (1491 nucleotides) under Homo sapiens (human). RNAcentral describes it as "HSALNT0375052". Lineage: Eukaryota; Metazoa; Chordata; Mammalia; Primates; Hominidae. The record is from RNAcentral.